This is a long non-coding RNA of Acipenser ruthenus (sterlet), 633 nucleotides long. RefSeq lists it as uncharacterized. Lineage: Eukaryota; Metazoa; Chordata; Actinopteri; Acipenseriformes; Acipenseridae. The transcript is spliced from 3 exons. The record is from RefSeq and is a predicted model, not a curated record.
GCGGACUGCAGGCUCAUCCAGCAACGUCACGCAUCAAACCCCUGCGUGCGCAGCUUCUAAUCACGUCAUCGUUGCAGCUCGAUCACGUGAUGAGGGUAAUCUCUUGCUUGCAUAUUGACGGUAAUAGAAAGAACCCAUACGUCAGUUCAUCCAAGCUUUUACCAUUGGGCCCCCUGGAUCGGUAGACAUACAAGAGACUCGCAGAUGAAUUGCUGAAAAAAGGUGUUAAACUAGAAUAUGUUUACUCAAGAAUACAUUCAGGAGCACCGGUCUGAGUUUGUUAACUGAGUGCGGACACUGUGGGACCAGCUACAAGGACUUGGCACCAGGAUAUGCAGCAGUGUGGAGUAGUGGUUAGGGCUCUGGACUCUUGACCGGAGGGUUGUGGGUUCAAUCCCAGGUGGGGGACACUGCUGCUGUACCCUUGAGCAAGGUACUUUACCUAGAUUGCUCCAGUAAAAACCCAACUGUAUAAAUGAGUAAUUGUAUGUAAAAAUAAUGUGAUAUCUUGUAACAAUUGUAAGUCGCCCUGGAUAAGGGCGUCUGCUAAGAAAUAAAUAAUAAUAUGUGAUAUAUUUUUUUAAAAAUAUGUAUAUACUGUGAUUUAAAUAAAGUUUUCCACUUUUAAUUCAA